CGAUAGCGUAUAUUUAAGUUGCUGCAGUUAAAAAGCUCGUAGUUGGAUUUCGGGUGGGAAUGGCCGGUCCGCCGUUUCGGUGUGCACUUGCUACGCCCACCUUGCUGCCGGGGACGUGCUCUUGAGUUCACGCUCGGGACACGGAGUCGGCGAGGUUACUUUGAGUAAAUUAGAGUGUUCAAAGCAGGCCUACGCUCUGAAUACAUUAGCAUGGAAUAACACGAUAGGACUCUGGCCUAUCUUGUUGGUCUGUAGGACCGGAGUAAUGAUUAAGAGGGACAGUCGGGGGCAUUCGUAUUUCAUUGUCAGAGGUGAAAUUCUUGGAUUUAUGAAAGACGAACUACUGCGAAAGCAUUUGCCAAGGAUGUUUUCAUUAA
This 377-nucleotide ribosomal RNA is filed under the name uncultured eukaryote. RNAcentral's name for it is "partial 18S ribosomal RNA". It matches the Rfam family "Eukaryotic small subunit ribosomal RNA", at positions 592 to 976 of the family's 1831-position model. The record is from RNAcentral.